Molecule: long non-coding RNA, 4224 nt
Filed under: Sus scrofa (pig)
Lineage: Eukaryota; Metazoa; Chordata; Mammalia; Artiodactyla; Suidae
Description: lncRNA (ENSSSCG00015063789.1)
Source: RNAcentral
UUUGUUUUCUUUCAGGAAUGGACUGUUUUAUAUAAUUCACUUUUAUAAUGUUUUCCGAUAUCCUAUUCUGAAAUAUUCAUGUACGAUUAUUCAAAAUUAAAAUAAGUUUUAUGGUAAAUAGUUCACAUAUUCAAUGGCAUUCCAUUAUUAAUCAGUCUGCAGGCAUUGUCUGAUAUAGCUCAAUCUAUAAGCUUCUAUCUUACACGCGCGCGCACACAGACAAAGGGCGGAGGAUAAGCAUUUCUAGUAUAAGGAUGAAGGACAAGGGCAAAAUUUGGUAAGAACCUACUACCCAAAACAAAUAUGGGCAUUUAAUGUCAAAAAUCACAUAAUUGUUGAUAAAAUAAAUAACAGUCAUAGAGUCUGUUUUAAAUUUAAGAUUUGAUAAAUUGUUUCAAAGAGAUGACUUGAAUUCAAUAUGACCUGCAUUGAUGCACUGUAAUAAAUUAAGAAAACUGGAUAAAAGGAUAUAAACAAUUUAUAAUUGGAAAUGAAGCACAUGAGAUGAGGACAUGUCAGGGAAUCACACGUGAUCUCUCUUGGGUCUCUCUUUUUAAAAUGUAUACUAGAAAAGAACAUUUCAAAGAUUUUAGGUUUGCAUGAGUUUUAAACAACUAAAUUUCUCCAGUAGAAGCAACUUAAAAGUUUUCUUCACUCCUUGAAGUGCUGAUAGAAAUCAUGACUUCUCACAAGGGAAACGAAAUUUUCUGCCUCAGCUCAGCUCAAUUUGGGAAUUGAAAAUAACUCUGUCCAUAAUUGCUUAUUACCAUUGGCCUUGCCUUUCUAGAUUAUUGGCUCAUGGAAAGUGGGAGCGGCCAUCCACAGCAGCACAAAUGAAGCAAAUGUGGCAAGUGAUAAGCUUUGUUCUCGUUUUCUAUUUUGUAACUUCUAAUUCGAGCACGGAAAGGAACAUUGUGAGAUAAGUUUUACAGAAGGAAAUCCUUGGUUUACUUUAAGAUUAUUCAGUGGGUAAAAAUAAGUGCUUUGCUUUGCAGAAGCAGAAAUAGAGAAAUGGCUUCGGGGUUUAUAAUGUUUUAGAGUUUAUGCUGAUUGUAUGUACUGUUGACUGUUGAUAAAAUUGAUGUGGAUUUCGUGGAUAGAAUUUAUAUUAACUUUAACAUGAGUGCUAGGAAAAUAUAAAGGUUCGAAGAGUUCUGUGGUUUUGCUGAAGUUCAUUACCAUUAGCUAUUAAUGACAGAAGGACCAGUAGCUCUUCCUCUUGCUAAUAAUUCUGAAUCAUUUUAAUCACUGUAGACAUUCAAAGGGGAGAUAAUAUAUUUUUAAAGUGAGACACUGGGGGUCAUUACAUAAAGGGGAUGGAUGGUUUACAUAGUGGAAGAUGCUCUCAACACAAGAAAUGUUCCUCUCGUCCCAGGUCUCUCUGUGGAAGAAUCUGGCACAAGGGUAACUUUCCUAAUCUUCCAACUCACCCCACAGGAUCCAUGACUUCUCCAUUUCUCCCCAUAGAGGAUAAAGAAUUAUCAUAUGAUUGGAGGAGGGGAUCAUUUUUAUUGAGGAGGGAAAAAACCUACAAAAUCUGCAAGUCUGUAAUGUAACCUCCAUUUGUCCUCUGGAUGCUACAAGGAAGCCCACUUCCUACAUGUGUCUGGUGAGAACCACACCUUUUUGUUUGUGGCUGCAACCAUCUUGACAUGGGGUUGCGGUGAGGGGCUGAGGAAAGGCUGUUAGCACUGAUGGUGACAGAUGUAAAUCUGCAUUCUCUAGCUGGCUUCAGUGAAAAUAUCUAAUGUUUUGAGUCUGAGUUUUUUCUUCAGUAUCUUAAUUAUCAGUUGGCCUCGAUUUUUCCAAAGACAGAAAUGCUAUUUAUGUGGCCCUCACAUCCUCAUGUGUAAAGAUAGUCCUCAAAAUUCUUAUUGCUGUUUUUCAGAGUUCCCACUGUGGCUCAGUGGGUUAAAAACCCAAUGUAGUGUCCAUGAGGAUGUGGGUUCAAUCCUUGGCCUCGCUCAGUUAAGAAUCUGACAUUAUGGUGUAGGCUGGCAGCUGCAGCUCCAAUUUGACCCCUAGCCCGGAAACUUCCAUAUGCCACAUGUGUGGCCAUAAAAAGAAAAAAAAAAUUCAUAUUGCACCUUUUGUGUCUAAAAGGGGGAAAAAAAGAUAUGACUGUAGGAGUGUUCAUAUAUUCAGCAAUUUUACUUAUCAGAAAAUUCCUCAUGGGCUUUUAGCAAUGUUAAACUAUUUUUUACACAAAAAUUUAAUCAAAUGUGCCAUGAAACUACCAUCUUGUAUUUUAAGAAUAAAAACAGUUUAAUUAAUUCCAUGGUAUGGAACACUGUGUAAAAAGUGGACACACCAAACGUCGAACAAGACAGUCUGUUUAGUGAAGGAAGAGUGAACCUCCACUAUUUUAUCUUAAAGUGAAGCGAUUAUGAUUGACUAAUACAUGACUUCACCCAUGUAUUCUCAGUUAUUCCAUUUGUGAGAUGUCCUUGACUGGUACAAGUGAAGAAAGGGUGAGAGAUGAAAAAAUUGGGGGUUAUUACAGGGAUGUCUUCCCAGAAAUAAAAUUCAACUUUUAUAGCAAGACAAGAAGAAUUUAAACAUAAAGUUCCUCUGCUCUUUGACCUCCACUCUCUCCCACUGUGCCUUGUGCAUCUGCAUUGUGCAUGCAUGGACCAAAACUCCCCCAUUGGCAGAAACACCUGCUCAACCAUAAAAAGCAAGGUUCUCCCACAUCAACAAUACCACUCCUUAAAGUCAACACUCCUUGAUUUUGUAAAGGGGCCGCAAUGACCCACCACUUGUACUUAACAGAGCUGGAUUGUGCAGACUGUCGUUAAGACAUAAUUGAAUGCAUAGUACUCUGUCCCCAAAAUCUUACAUAACUGGGCCUUGAGUCUCACAAGCAGAACACUUCUCAGAGUUUUCUGAGAUGUUCUUCCAGGUUAAAAUCCUCAAUUUGGCCUGAACAAAUUUCCCAAUUCUCUCUUAGAUCGACUGAUUCAUUUUUGUCAACUCUUUUCUCUACCCUUAGUUUUUGAACUAUGAUUAUGCAUUACUUUUUUUUUUUUUUGCUUUUCUUUUUUCUUUACUUUUCAGAGCCAUACCUGCAGUAUAUGGAAGUUCCAGGGCUAGGGGCUGAAUCUGAGCUGCCGCUGGCAGCCUACACCAUAGCCACAGCAACACAGGAUCUGAGCCACAUCUGCUACCUACACCACAAGUCACAGCAAUGCUAGAUCAUUUACCCACUGAGUGAGGCCAGGGGUCAAACCCAUUUCGCCAGGGUUACUAGUCGGGUUCUUAACUCACCAAGCCACAACAGGAACUUCUGAUUAUGUAUUACUUUUAAAGCAUAUUUAUUUGGGACGUGUUUCCAGUUAUAGACCGUAUUUUAAAUGUGAAGAAAUACACACAAAAUAGACACAUGCAAGGAAAGUAGACUGAAGAGAAAAAUACCAAGAACACGGUAAAAAGGAAAAGGAAAGAUAAAUGAUAGGCCUAACACUUGUCCUGCUUCUGGAAUUUAAAUCUGGACGAUUGUUACAUUUUGUUUCAUUUAACAAAAUGAAACCUCUAACACAGAAUUUGGUAUCUUGAAUUCUGCAAGUAAUAAAACCAAGAAAAUGUAAAACGGACUUAGGGAAGGCCUGGACUAUGCGUCAUGAGGAUGUGAACAAGGGGAACUAAAAAUCGGUGAGCUCUCUGAUUCUGAAUUUGGUCUAAAGUAUUCAGUUCUGGGCUAUGGGGCAGAGCUGACUUAGAUGGGUUAGUUAGUACAAUGGGAAGAGAAUAACUUGGAGCUGGGAGAGUAGGGUACUGGCCUGGUGGCCUUCAGUGCAGGUCUGACUAGGAGGCUCGACGUCAGCCUGAGGUUGGUGGAGCACAAGCAAAGGGGAGGGCAUGCUUUGCAGAGUCAGGCACUUCUGCUGUCCUCAAUUUCAGUUGACGGAGGGUCAUUGUGAAAGGCUGACAGAUAAUGCUCCUGAACUGCAAAUGAAAUGUUAUCCACCUGAUGUCUGUGAAAUGGCAGCCUUAGCAGGAUGCAAAGCUCCUAUUACAGGCCUUUGCAAAAACCUCCCCUUUAGAGUCACCUGCUAGUCAGAGGCCAGCCCAACCUGCUGCUGAAAUGAUUGUUUUCAUCACUUACGCCUCUUGUUUAAAUUACUCUGUAAAGCUCAGGCAAUUAAGCAAAAAGGCUUUGGGAUUUUUGCAGAGCAGAGAAACCAUCAGAUAAAAGAGAAGCUUUUAAAGACGUGCCUAAGAUAU